Molecule: ribosomal RNA, 492 nt
Filed under: uncultured bacterium
Lineage: Bacteria
Description: partial 16S ribosomal RNA
Rfam family: Bacterial small subunit ribosomal RNA
Source: RNAcentral
AUUGAACGCUGGCGGCAUGCUUUACACAUGCAAGUCGAACGGUAACAGGCCUUCGGGUGCUGACGAGUGGCGCACGGGUGAGUAAUGCAUCGGAACGUGCCCAGCGGUGGGGGAUAACGCAGCGAAAGCUGUGCUAAUACCGCAUGUGAUCUGAGGAUGACAGCGGGGGACCCAGCAGCAAUGUUUGGCCUCGCGCCUCUGGAGCGGCCGAUGUCAGAUUAGGUAGUUGGUGGGGUAAAGGCCUACCAAGCCGACGAUCUGUAGCUGGUCUGAGAGGACGACCAGCCACACUGGGACUGAGACACGGCCCAGACUCCUACGGGAGGCAGCAGUGGGGAAUUUUGGACAAUGGGCGCAAGCCUGAUCCAGCAAUGCCGCGUGCGGGAAGAAGGCCUUCGGGUUGUAAACCGCUUUUGUACGGAACGAAAAGGCUCUGGCUAAUACCUGGGGCUGAUGACGGUACCGUAAGAAUAAGCACCGGCUAACUACGUG